GCUGGGCACAGUGGCACAUGCCUGUAAUCCCAGCAGCUUGGGAGGCUGAGACAGGAGAGUUGUGAGUUCACAGCCAGGCUCAGUGAGGACCUAGGCAACUCAGAGAGACCCUGUCUCUA
Molecule: small RNA, 119 nt
Filed under: Marmota monax (woodchuck)
Lineage: Eukaryota; Metazoa; Chordata; Mammalia; Rodentia; Sciuridae
Source: RNAcentral